Molecule: ribosomal RNA, 1348 nt
Filed under: Arthrobacter sp. MH14
Lineage: Bacteria; Bacillati; Actinomycetota; Actinomycetes; Micrococcales; Micrococcaceae
Description: 16S ribosomal RNA
Rfam family: Bacterial small subunit ribosomal RNA
Source: RNAcentral
GAUUAGUGGCGAACGGGUGAGUAACACGUGAGUAACCUGCCCUUGACUCUGGGAUAAGCCUGGGAAACUGGGUCUAAUACCGGAUAUGACCUUCCAUCGCAUGGUGGUUGGUGGAAAGCUUUUGUGGUUUUGGAUGGACUCGCGGCCUAUCAGCUUGUUGGUGGGGUAAUGGCCUACCAAGGCGACGACGGGUAGCCGGCCUGAGAGGGUGACCGGCCACACUGGGACUGAGACACGGCCCAGACUCCUACGGGAGGCAGCAGUGGGGAAUAUUGCACAAUGGGCGCAAGCCUGAUGCAGCGACGCCGCGUGAGGGAUGACGGCCUUCGGGUUGUAAACCUCUUUCAGUAGGGAAGAAGCGUAAGUGACGGUACCUGCAGAAGAAGCGCCGGCUAACUACGUGCCAGCAGCCGCGGUAAUACGUAGGGCGCAAGCGUUAUCCGGAAUUAUUGGGCGUAAAGAGCUCGUAGGCGGUUUGUCGCGUCUGCCGUGAAAGUCCGGGGCUCAACUCCGGAUCUGCGGUGGGUACGGGCAGACUAGAGUGAUGUAGGGGAGACUGGAAUUCCUGGUGUAGCGGUGAAAUGCGCAGAUAUCAGGAGGAACACCGAUGGCGAAGGCAGGUCUCUGGGCAUUAACUGACGCUGAGGAGCGAAAGCAUGGGGAGCGAACAGGAUUAGAUACCCUGGUAGUCCAUGCCGUAAACGUUGGGCACUAGGUGUGGGGGACAUUCCACGUUUUCCGCGCCGUAGCUAACGCAUUAAGUGCCCCGCCUGGGGAGUACGGCCGCAAGGCUAAAACUCAAAGGAAUUGACGGGGGCCCGCACAAGCGGCGGAGCAUGCGGAUUAAUUCGAUGCAACGCGAAGAACCUUACCAAGGCUUGACAUGAACCGGAAAGACCUGGAAACAGGUUCCCCACUUGUGGUCGGUUUACAGGUGGUGCAUGGUUGUCGUCAGCUCGUGUCGUGAGAUGUUGGGUUAAGUCCCGCAACGAGCGCAACCCUCGUUCUAUGUUGCCAGCACGUGAUGGUGGGGACUCAUAGGAGACUGCCGGGGUCAACUCGGAGGAAGGUGGGGACGACGUCAAAUCAUCAUGCCCCUUAUGUCUUGGGCUUCACGCAUGCUACAAUGGCCGGUACAAAGGGUUGCGAUACUGUGAGGUGGAGCUAAUCCCAAAAAGCCGGUCUCAGUUCGGAUUGGGGUCUGCAACUCGACCCCAUGAAGUCGGAGUCGCUAGUAAUCGCAGAUCAGCAACGCUGCGGUGAAUACGUUCCCGGGCCUUGUACACACCGCCCGUCAAGUCACGAAAGUUGGUAACACCCGAAGCCGGUGGCCUAACCCCUUGUGGGA